Molecule: ribosomal RNA, 512 nt
Filed under: uncultured Glomus
Lineage: Eukaryota; Fungi; Glomeromycota; Glomeromycetes; Glomerales; Glomeraceae
Description: SSU rRNA
Rfam family: Eukaryotic small subunit ribosomal RNA
Source: RNAcentral
AGCAGCCGCGGUGAUUCCAGCUCCAAUAGCGUAUAUUAAAGUUGUUGCAGUUAAAAAGCUCGUAGUUGAAUUUCGGGGUCAGUAGGCUGGUCGUGCCACCGGUACGUACUGGUCUCACUGAUUCCUCCUUCCUGAAGAACCGUAAUGCCAUUAAUUUGGUGUUGCGGGGAAACAGGACUGUUACUUUGAAAAAUUAGAGUGUUUAAAGCAGGCUAACGCUUGAAUACAUUAGCAUGGAAUAAUGAAAUAGGACGUUUGAUCCUAUUUUGUUGGUUUCUAGGAUUGACGUAAUGAUUAAUAGGGAUAGUUGGGGGCAUUAGUAUUCAAUUGUCAGAGGUGAAAUUCUUGGAUUUAUUGAAGACUAACUACUGCGAAAGCAUUUGCCAAGGAUGUUUUCAUUAAUCAAGAACGAAAGUUAGGGGAUCGAAGACGAUCAGAUACCGUCGUAGUCUUAACCAUAAACUAUGCCGACUAGGGAUCGGAUGAUGUUAAUUUUUAAUGUACUCAUUCGG